Molecule: ribosomal RNA, 468 nt
Filed under: uncultured bacterium
Lineage: Bacteria
Description: partial 16S ribosomal RNA
Rfam family: Bacterial small subunit ribosomal RNA
Source: RNAcentral
GACGAACGCUGGCGGCGUGCUUAACACAUGCAAGUCGAACGGUGAUGCUCCAGCUUGCUGGAGUGGAUCAGUGGCGAACGGGUGAGUAACACGUGAGCAACCUGCCCCAGACUCUGGAAUAAGCGCUGGAAACGGCGUCUAAUACUGGAUACGAAACUGGCCCGCAUGGGCAUGGUUUGGAAAGUUUUUCGGUUUGGGAUGGGCUCGCGGCCUAUCAGCUUGUUGGUGAGGUAAUGGCUCACCAAGGCGACGACGGGUAGCCGGCCUGAGAGGGCGACCGGCCACACUGGGACUGAGACACGGCCCAGACUCCUACGGGAGGCAGCAGUGGGGAAUAUUGAACAAUGGGCGAGAGCCUGAUGCAGCGACGCCGCUUGAGGGAUGACGGCCUUCGGGUUGUAAACCUCUUUCAGCAGGGAAGAAGCGAAAGUGACGGUACCUGCAGAAGAAGCACCGGCUAACUACGGG